RNAcentral lists this ribosomal RNA (129 nucleotides) under Staphylococcus aureus. Its description in RNAcentral is "partial 23S ribosomal RNA". It matches the Rfam family "Bacterial large subunit ribosomal RNA", at positions 2794 to 2925 of the family's 2925-position model. Lineage: Bacteria; Bacillati; Bacillota; Bacilli; Caryophanales; Staphylococcaceae. The record is from RNAcentral.
CCCCCUCAAGAUGAGAUUUCCCAACUUCGGUUAUAAGAUCCCUCAAAGAUGAUGAGGUUAAUAGAUUCGAGGUGGAAGCAUGGUGACAUGUGGAGCUGACGAAUACUAAUCGAUCGAAGACUUAAUCAA